Molecule: long non-coding RNA, 5299 nt
Filed under: Sus scrofa (pig)
Lineage: Eukaryota; Metazoa; Chordata; Mammalia; Artiodactyla; Suidae
Description: lncRNA (ENSSSCG00005007068.1)
Source: RNAcentral
GGAACUCCUAUUUCCUUUUAUUACAUAAUACAAUCCAAGCACCCAACACCUGUGUGCAUUUGUGUGCCUAUCAAACAACCUGCCAUGUGAGGUGCUUAUUUUUCUUUAUAAGCAAGGAAACCAUAACAUCUUUGGGACCCAAGUGAUUUUAGUAUCACUGACAGAUUACACAUUAGACUCUGUGUUACGGUCUCUACUUUAGGGGAAAAAGGAAAAAAACCAACACGGGCACCUGGACUUGAGUCUUAAAAGGACUGGCUGAUCAUUAGAAUCAAACAGAAAUACUGAAAAACAAACAAAAAACAACAAAUCUUUAAGUCAGACUUUGGAGAUACUGAUUUAAACAUAAAUAUUUUUAAAACUGCUUAGCUGAUGACCACUCCCCAGGUUUGGAAACCCUGAGCUAAAGCUGAAAUGGGGCUGGGGUGCAGGGAGGGAUCCACAGGCUAUGACUGGAUCGUCUUCCUCCUAAGGGUGUGGGAGCCAGCAACAGCCUGUACACUCAGUGAUGCCUCACACAAACUCGGCAGGGAAAAGACCAAGGCUGCACACUUACCUUCGAGCACCUAUCUGGGGGAGCAGCACUGUCCUCUCCACAAGCUUGUGAGGGAGGAGGGGCCUUAAACAUGGGGAACAGAGAGGAAGGAGAAGCCCCAAGGAGAGCAUCUACAGCAAAUGCAUCUCCAACCACUGUCAUUCCAGGAUGCCGUUAAGGACGCAGUAUGGAUUCAAGGGUAUGAGUCAUCACGUGUUAGAGAAAAUUAACAGAGUUUGCCUUGAGCACAGAGAAGAGGCUGGAGGUAAGAUAACCCAAAUGGGUCAAAAGAGUCUGGAGCUUGAAAAACAAGGUGUGUUACAAAGGAUAAAUGCAGUGGAGCAAAAGAGGGGAAAACAUCUAUCCCAUCUGUGCAGCUCUAAGCCUAAAACAUGGCAAUCUUUAUUUGGAAAAAAAAAGUUAAUGAAGAUUAUGGAACACAAAAUGACUUUCCAUCAACUUAUUUCUCUGAAAGAAGCCUGAAUUUGCAUUUUCAUUGAACUGAUCAAACGUUAUCUAAGAACUGCUUAAUUGCCUUAAUGGUUUAAUUCUAUUUGCUGCCAAUCUGAUUAGCAAAGAGUGUGUCUGUGUGUGCACCCGUGUGGGCUGGCAUUAAACGGGAGGGUGAAACCUAUUACUGAAAGAACAGCAAUGGGGAGCUGGCUGGCUUUUGGUUAAUUGAGAAACUAUGAGUGGUGUGAGGAGGUCACUCUAUCAUUUAUUUUAAUUUCUUCUCUCUCAUCCUCCCAGUCACUUUUUCAACUCAGGAACCUGACUUGGAGUUGAGACCACUAAGAGCAGGUGUUAAUUUGGGUUAAGGAGAAGGUGAGCCCAGGUAGUCCUGCCAGUGUUGUGAUUUAAUGGGAAACUGGAUCAAAUAUAACAGAUCCUCUGAGUCUCAGUCAGACAUGGUUAACAUGGAAUGAAGAAACAUUUUCUGGAAGUUAAUAUAUACGUUAAUCUUUUGGAGAGUUUACUUUGUGGCGAAGCGGAAACGAAUCCAACUAGAAACCAUGAGGUUUCAGUUUGAUCCCUGGCCUUGCUCAGUGGAUUAAGAAUCCAGCGUUGCCAUAAGAUGUGGUGUAGGUCACAGACGUAGCUUGGAUCUGGUGUGGCUGUGGCUGUGGCCGGCAGCUGUAGCUCUGAUUAGACCCCCAGCCUGGGAACCUCCAUAUGUCAUGGGUGCAGCCCUAAAAAAGGCAAAAAAAAAAAAAAAUUCUUUUGGGACCUUGUAACAAUAUAUAACCUAACAAAGUAAAAGUAAUCUCUUUCAACCAGCUCAGGAAUACCUACUGGUAAAAGCACUGGAAUAGUUCCCUUGGGGUGGGGCAAAAGCACAGGACGGCUAUUUUGGAACCAGAACCAGUUCUGACUCUCUGGAAGUCACAUUCUGUCUCUGUUUCUCAGUGUCCUCACCUUCAAGCUGGAAUGACUGGUUUUAAGUUUGUUUUGUACAGAGGCCCUGGAUUUCAGAGGUGUAUCAGGACCUUCACAGGAAGUUCAAGGGAAGCUGGGGAGACCCCACCCCCAAUUCUGAGCACCCUCAUCCUCCUUGGAUUUAACUGGAGACCCUGCAUAUCAAUCGGUUUGAGGUACUGAUGCGCUAGACAAGAUUUGGGUUGAAAAAAAAUAUUUCUUAGGUUCAAAUUAUUUGCUAAGUGCUGGAAUAAAUGAUCUUUAAAAUUCUGUAGAGUUUUAAUAAAGCUUUCCCUUCGGAAUACCCUGUUUGUUCAGCUAGGAAAAUUCAACUUCCUCUUUACAACUUUUUGAGCUUCAACUCCUUCAAGACUUAGCUCAGAUGUUGUCUUUUCUCAAAAACCUCCCUCAAAGGGAAGUGCAGCUGUGCAGGGAACUUCUCUGCUGGAAAGUUCUGUGGCUAUUUUGGACAAAGAGUACUCUUUCCUAAGCUUAAGAUACUAGAUACUCUGGUGAUUGGGACAAGGAGCCCAUACUUUGGAUUCUGAAUGAUAUAAAAAAGGGUUGAUGUAAGGGGGGCAAUAUAUAUCAAGAGCCUGAAGAAAUUCAUUUCCUUUGAUGUAGCAAUAACACUCCCAGAAACAUAUCCUAAAGAUUUAUUACAAGGAAGUUCAUUCCAGUAUUAUUUGUAAGGUGGUAAGGAUGAAAAAUUAGGGUGAAAAAACUAAGUGUAGAAUAAAAUAUUAAAUACAUGCACAAAAAUGGUUAAAAUUUUUUGAAAUACCAUAGUUAUUAAUUAUUGUGCUUUGGAAAAAUAUCUCAUGGGAAAAGGCUGAUUACAUAACAUUAAGCAAAGAAGGUAGGAAACAAAACUAUAUAUAAAAUAUGCUGACAGUGCUGUGAUUCAUUAUAUCCACUCAAAAGAAAUACUAAAAGAAUAUAGAAUGAUUGUGACAUUAAUUUUCUUCAUUAUACAUUGCAUCCCUUUCAAAAUUUAAAACUUUUCACUUUUACUAUAAUAAAUGAUUCUGAACAUUUGGCAAAGCAACAGGUUAUCUGGUAUUUUGUUUCCAUCAGCAUUCUCCAAUUCUUCAGCCACAUGACACUCCCACAUCACAAAUGUUUGGUGAGUCUAAAUCGUCUACCAUGAGAAGUUUGAAGACAAGGCUCCUGGAGGCAGGCCUAGGACAGCUGACCUUAAGCAGCGUGAGGAAGAGUCCUCUAGACAUGGGUCCUAGUCUCCUCUCUGCCACAGACUAGUUGCAUGGCUCCCUCAGCAAACAACUUCCAGUCUUGGGGCUUUAGUUUUGUCAUUUGCAAAGGAAAGAUGCAUGUCUUAUUCUUCUUUUCUAGCCCCAGUGUUUAGAACACUAGAAGUUAUCAAGAGUGUAUGUGAACUGUCAUGUGGAUUGAUGGAUAUGAGGAUGAGAAGAGGGCGGCUGUGAAUGAACUAUAAUGAAAGACUUUGAACAAAGAUAACCUAAACUUCCUAAUUCAAUGCGUCAAACCUGUAUUCUGAAUUAUCAGGCCAUCAAAUGAAACUUGGAACAUAAAUAGGGAAGCCUGGUUUGUUUUCCUUUUGAUCUUUCUAAGCCUAAAGUCCUAUAUCUUCAUAGACCAUCAACAUCUGAGAUCAGCACCUUAAGGAAAACUCUGAUUUCAUGAAGGAGAUGAACCAGGGUCACUGCUUAGGAGCAGGUAGUGAAAGCCAGACCCUGAAGUGGGAACAGCUGAGUUAGAGACAAAAGCGAUCAGUAACGUUUUGAUGAUCAGAGCCAGAAGAUCAAGAUUUAACUGCAUGAAAUAUGCACCUUGCAGAGGCAUUCAGGUUGCAAAUCAGAGCUCCAAAUGCCAAACACAACAACAGAAAGGCAAAAAUUUCUCAAGGGCAUCUGACUUGAGAUAGAGCUGAGAUUUAAAAAGACAGUGAGGGGUAGGGUCAUAAUUCUAGAAUGACACAGAGGACAAUAUCCCCAAGUGAUACUCAAAGAUGUGACCUGAUACAGCCCAUCUUAGUCACCAGGCUGACUCUGACCAGAAUAAGAUUCUCUGACCAGAUAAGAACAGCUUAGGGGCCACCAGAUGGAUGGAUAUAUGCUAUACUAAUGCACACACGAUCAGUGAUUAAGAGUCCCAUCUUACAGGACCCUUAGCUCGCAACCAGGGCACAGAAAAUAAAUUAAGCCUGCCUGCUUACUCUCCUAUACUCCAAUUCUACUUUAUGCGCAGGGAGCAGAAAAAUUGAGAAUACAUUCUGUCCUUCAUCUUUCUAGCCAUCAAAGCUCUUCUAGGUUAUGCCACCAGCUACGACUGUUCUCUUUUACACAGUGAAAACAUUUCUAAGUGAGUAGCCUAUUAAAUUUAGAGGAGUAAACUAUUCUUGCGUACGUCUUCAAGAUCUAUAAUAGGAGAUAAAUCCUGUUAGCCUGGGCAUGGCAAGGUAAUUGUUUCAACUGCUACAUUUCUGUGGAACAAACAAAACCAUUCCAGGCUUGCACAAUUCCUAGUUAAUGGCGAAGGGAAGAAACACUAUGUUUGCCAUGCCCAGAACACUGGCUGUCAUAGACCAGUGGCAACCGGAAUAGAAGGGAGGCCUCGUCUAUUAUCACCACUGGAAAGCAAAGUCCUCUGGGCUACAUAUGCUCACAUCGCCUGUCCAAACCAGCCUGUAAGCAAAUGGUGCUGAGCAAGAAGCAAGGAGAAAACUAUCAGGGUAGGAACAUCAGGGCAUUUUGGAUGCAAAGCAGAAGCUUAUCUUUUUUACUGUUGCAGCUCCAGAGAAAAUCAAUUUUGACACAGAACUGCCACUUUACAAGCAAAUAACUAUACUUUCCAAUAACCUAAUCUGUGCAAAGCCUACUGAAAAUUCCCUAAAGAACCAGUAGUUAAAACCUCCAUUAAAUCAAAGGGUUUAAUAUGGGAAGGGAAGAGAGGAUGCAGUUUGACUUGGGAAUGUAAUGGACUCAGUGGGGAAAUAAAUAGGUUGUUUUAUGUGUACAGUUACAGAAUAUGAGAACACGGCAUUCAUUUCAAAGGGAAUUCUCUUGCUGUGCAACUUAUUCCUAAACAGAUGUGAUUUUUGCUUAUUCAAAAACAUUUAGGUAACAAUUACAGCAUAAUAAAUUAUAAUUGCCAUCAUCUUCCAGCCACGUAAUGCCUUCUAUGCAAACACAAAGAAAAGGCAAUCACACAAAACUAUAAAGCCCAUUUUCAGGUAGGUUCUGCAGCCUGGAUUCAAAUAUUCUCCAUUAUUCUCACAUAAACACUGCAUUGUGCCUCAUCUAUAUAUCCUACGAUGGUGAGUGGAUACUACCUAGCAAAUAACUAAGGUCUGGAAAUCACAGCCUG